AGCAGCCGCGGUAAUUCCAGCUCCAAUAGCGUAUAUUAAAGUUGCUGCAGUUAAAAAGCUCGUAGUUGAAUUUCGGGACCAUCAUGUUGGUCGUGCCUCGGUACGUACUGGUAUUGUUGGUUUCUCCCUUCUGACGAACCAUGAUGUCAUUUAUUUGGUGUUGUGGGGAAUCAGGACUGUUACUUUGAAAAAAUUAGAGUGUUUAAAGCAGGCUCACGCUUGAAUACAUUAGCAUGGAAUAAUGAAAUAGGACGUUUGAUUCUAUUUUGUUGGUUUCUAGGAUCGACGUAAUGAUUAAUAGGGAUAGUUGGGGGCAUUAGUAUUCAAUUGUCAGAGGUGAAAUUCUUGGAUUUAUUGAAGACUAACUACUGCGAAAGCAUUUGCCAAGGAUGUCUUCAUUAAUCAAGAACGAAAGUUAGGGGAUCGAAGACGAUCAGAUACCGUCGUAGU
Molecule: ribosomal RNA, 450 nt
Filed under: uncultured Glomeromycotina
Lineage: Eukaryota; Fungi; Glomeromycota
Description: SSU rRNA
Rfam family: Eukaryotic small subunit ribosomal RNA
Source: RNAcentral